Molecule: ribosomal RNA, 584 nt
Filed under: uncultured Bacteroidota bacterium
Lineage: Bacteria; Pseudomonadati; Bacteroidota
Description: bacterial SSU rRNA
Rfam family: Bacterial small subunit ribosomal RNA
Source: RNAcentral
UUAAUACAUGCAAGUCAAGGGGGCAGCAAUGUCACCGGCGGACGGGUGCGUAACGCGUACACAACGUGCCCCAGAGCGGGAGAUAGCAUCGGGAAACUGAUGGUAAUACCCCAUGGUGUUGGAGAUUGGCAUCAAUUUUCAACUAAAGAUUACACUCUGGGAUCGGUGUGCGUAUGAUUAGCUAGUUGGUAGGGUAACGGCUUACCAAGGCGAUGAUCAUUAGGGGGUGUGAGAGCAUGACCCCCCACACGGGUACUGAGACACGGACCCGACUCCUACGGGAGGCAGCAGUAAGGAAUAUUGGACAAUGGUCGGAAGACUGAUCCAGCCAUGCCGCGUGAAGGACGAAGGCGCUCAGCGUUGUAAACUUCUUUUGUACGGGAACAAAACCACCAAUGCGUUGGUGUCUGAGGGUACCGUAAGAAUAAGCACCGGCUAACUCCGUGCCAGCAGCCGCGGUAAUACGGAGGGUGCAAGCGUUAUCCGGAAUCACUGGGUUUAAAGGGUGCGUAGGCGGUUCGAUAAGUCAGUUGUGAAAUUCCCUCGCUUAACGAGUGGGACUGCGAUUGAUACUGUUGAACUUG